UUAUCAUUCAAGUGUUGCAAAUAAAAAGUACACCCCCAAAAUGUUUAUUUUAGAUUACUUUAUACCGAAAAGAUAAACAUUUAUGUGCGUGAGAGUCUUUGGCAUUGUCUCCAAGUCCAUGUAAAUGUCAUUUUCCUACUUCGACAUUGGAUUUGUCUUCGUUGUUGGCUGUCACUGUUGCUGUUGCCUGUCGUCUUGUGCUGCACAUGUUGCAGAUUAAAAUUAAUUGGCAAUGUCAAAACGUGGAUACCAAUGUGAAAUUAUAAACCGCGACAGCACACUACCCAGAUACUCACCGCUAUGAAAUGGGGACGCAGCCGUCCGAUGGAGUAUUUUGCGAUAUCCGUAGUCAGUUGGCUAACAACAGCUCCGAAGGCAUAAAUGCCAACCUUUUUGUAGCACUCGAUCAGCCAGUCGGGCAGUUCGCGGUUCAUGAAGACAUAUCGCCGACCUAUCGAGUUGCCAUUAUCUGUCUUGGCCUUGUUCUGCGAUAUUAUUACCUCGACGGCGAGCAUCUGAAGAAUAAAAAGACAAUAAACUAGUAAAUAGUAAA
Drosophila ananassae is the source of this 553-nucleotide long non-coding RNA. RefSeq lists it as uncharacterized. The transcript has 2 exons. The record is from RefSeq and is a predicted model, not a curated record. NCBI's taxonomy places the organism in Eukaryota, Metazoa, Arthropoda, Insecta, Diptera, Drosophilidae.